UAGCUGCAGCCACAGCUCGGCUCACCUGCUCAUCUACUCGUCUCCGAUUCACUGCCUUAUUCGCUGUUUCUCGAGCCGCCUGCAAUAUUUUCAAGUU
Molecule: small RNA, 97 nt
Filed under: Arabidopsis thaliana (thale cress)
Lineage: Eukaryota; Viridiplantae; Streptophyta; Magnoliopsida; Brassicales; Brassicaceae
Description: ATSL015250
Source: RNAcentral